RNAcentral lists this unclassified non-coding RNA (331 nucleotides) under Hevea brasiliensis (rubber tree). Lineage: Eukaryota; Viridiplantae; Streptophyta; Magnoliopsida; Malpighiales; Euphorbiaceae. The record is from RNAcentral.
UAUCCUUGGCAUCAAUACUGAGCAAUGUACAUGGAAUGGCAGGAAAAGUGACAUCAAAAUUGAUCCUUAGAGUUUCCCCUCUUGAAGUAUCCACUAAGAGCUUCGUCUCAGUAACAAUGCGCAGGUAUAAUNNNNNNNNNNNNNAGGAGAAGAGGAAAAGCAUGAUAAGAAAAGAGACGAGGGUAAUGAGGCCACCGGAAAAGGUCCUCCUAUAAAAAUCCUCAUUGAUUUUUGGGUAAGCAUCUAACUUCCUCAGUUUCUGAAUCAUGCUUUCCACUUUCAACCAAAAUUUCCAAGCAAUCAACCAAUACCCAGAAAGGUUACACCUUCA